Molecule: ribosomal RNA, 497 nt
Filed under: uncultured bacterium
Lineage: Bacteria
Description: partial 16S ribosomal RNA
Rfam family: Bacterial small subunit ribosomal RNA
Source: RNAcentral
GAUGAACGCUGGCGGCGUGCCUAAUACAUGCAAGUCGAGCGAACAGACGAGGAGCUUGCUCCUCUGACGUUAGCGGCGGACGGGUGAGUAACACGUGGAUAACCUACCUAUAAGACUGGGAUAACUUCGGGAAACCGGAGCUAAUACCGGAUAAUAUAUUGAACCGCAUGGUUCAAUAGUGAAAGACGGUUUUGCUGUCACUUAUAGAUGGAUCCGCGCCGCAUUAGCUAGUUGGUAAGGUAACGGCUUACCAAGGCAACGAUGCGUAGCCGACCUGAGAGGGUGAUCGGCCACACGGGAACUGAGACACGGUCAAGACUCCUACGGGAGGCAGCAGUAGGGAAUCUUCCGCAAAGGGCGAAAGCUUGACGGAGCAACGCCGCGUGAGUGAUGAAGGUCUUCGGAUCGUAAAACUCUGUUAUUAGGGAAGAACAAAUGUGUAAGUAACUAUGCACGUCUUGACGGUACCUAAUCAGAAAGCCACGGCUAACUACGUG